This 200-nucleotide unclassified non-coding RNA is filed under the name Thelephoraceae sp. RNAcentral's name for it is "partial internal transcribed spacer 2". Lineage: Eukaryota; Fungi; Basidiomycota; Agaricomycetes; Thelephorales; Thelephoraceae. The record is from RNAcentral.
UUAAGUUCAGCGGGUAGUCCUACCUGAUUUGAGAUCAAACGUUCAAAAAGCUGUCCUCACCAAGGAGAGACAUCUGUGAGCUCCAGCGAACCCCCAUCACUGAAGGUCACAUGGCAGAAAACCACAAGCGUAGAUAGUUAUCACACCCGUGAUGCCACCAGACACUGGCAAGCUGAUCCGUUUGAGAGGAGCUGACACUU